This 500-nucleotide ribosomal RNA is filed under the name uncultured bacterium. RNAcentral's name for it is "partial 16S ribosomal RNA". It matches the Rfam family "Bacterial small subunit ribosomal RNA", at positions 29 to 523 of the family's 1533-position model. The record is from RNAcentral.
AUUGAACACUGGCGGAAUGCUUUACACAUGCAAGUCGAGCGGCAGCGCGGGGGCAACCCUGGCGGCGAGCGGCGAACGGGUGAGUAACACAUCGGAACGUACCCAGUUGUGGGGGAUAGCCCGGCGAAAGCCGGAUUAAUACCGCAUACGACCUGAGGGUGACAGGGGGGGAUCGCAAGACCUCUCGCAGUUGGAGCGGCCGAUGGCGGAUUAGCUAGUUGGUGAGGUAAAGGCUCACCAAGGCGACGAUCCGUAGCUGGUCUGAGAGGACGACCAGCCACACUGGAACUGAGGCACGGUCCAGACUCCGACGGGAGGCAGCAGUGGGAAAUUUUGGACAAUGGGGGCAACCCUGAUCCAGCCAUUCCGCGUGAGUGAAGAAGGCCUUCGGGUUGUAAAGCUCUCUCGGCAGGAACGAAACGGUGGAGGCUAAUACCUUUCAUCAAUGACGGUACCUGAAGAAGAAGCACCGGCUAACUACGUGCCAGCAGCCGCCGUAA